This 2956-nucleotide long non-coding RNA is filed under the name Penaeus japonicus. RNAcentral's name for it is "uncharacterized LOC122253052, transcript variant X2". The record is from RNAcentral. Lineage: Eukaryota; Metazoa; Arthropoda; Malacostraca; Decapoda; Penaeidae.
UACAGCCAAAUAAUGGAAGCAGUAUUGAUUGAUGAAUUGCAAAUGUCUGAUAAAUCCUCCAUGCAUUUGGGUAUAGUGACCCCUUAGCACAGCCAUAAGGCGUAUGGUACAUGUUAUUGUUUAUUUGGAAAAGUGAUAUAUUUUCCUACUAUAAUUCUAUUCUUUCAUGGUUAUGUUUUAUUAGCUUUUUUGUGUUUAAUAAACACUUCUAGAAAUUUUUAAUAAUUUACAAAAUUCUGUAAUUCUGCACACAACCAAAUGUUUUUGUUGUUAUGGCAAAUAUUCAUUUAUCAAAUGGUAUUGCGGCCAAAUUACAGAACCUUAUUAUCCGUCAGUGUGCACAUAGUUCAUCAGUUAUAAAAAUGUGUUGAAACUCCGGAGAUUAAAUACCAAACAAUCCAGACUUGAUUGAAGGAACUGAGUUGCUUUAGUCGACUCGUGUUUGAUGUUUUCUCUUUACUCUUAAUGCAUAUUUAUUUUAUCACAGGUUUCUUUAUCCCAGUAUUUACUCUGCCUUGGUAUCAGUAGUUAAUGCCUGAAAUUAUCAUUUAUGAUGGAAAACAACAGAGCAAAAUAGGAGCAAAAAAUAAGUUAAAUGAUUCAGUGACUGAGAAUAUAUGGUAUAUUUUCCGAACAAUGCCGUGCCGCUAAAAUAUAAGAUCUGCAUUUGCAGUGUGAAGCAAUUUAAUUGGUUAAUAAGGUUACUAAUCUUAAAAAGAAUUAAUGUUAUGCUUUAUUGUGUUUCUGCAUUAAUUGAUUGCCAAUCAGGUACCCAAAAAAUUACAGAUAUUUUGCUGGUUCUUAUUUACCAUUACUUUUGCAGCUAUAUAUUUUUUUUUUUAUCCCUAGCAGAUAAAAGUUAUUGUAAUAUCAUCCAAAUCUUUUAUAAUUAACUCCAUGCAGAUGGGUUUUGGAGAAUGUAUAAGUGUGCAUAUAAACAUUCAAAACAUUAAAUAUGCACAAAUAUAAUUCCUUUAUUCAAGCAGAAGCAUUUCCUUACUGAGUUGACGUGACUGAGAACUAGUUUUGCGUUUGGUAAAAUUGUCUUUCUUACAGAAUGGACAUGUUUAUUGUAAUAAGAAUUGAUGGUCCACAGGCUGGAAGAUACUCGGGUCAUAGUAUUAUAUUUUUUUGUUAAUUUUUUAAAGAUUUGAUGAUUCUUUUUUUUAUCAUUGCUGAUGAGUUCGUAUAUGGUAUUGUGCACAGGUCUGUGUUACUUGGGAUAACAAAUGUUAAAAGUUUCACUGCUACAAAGUUGAAAGCCUCCCCACCCCUGCCAUUUGUGCACGUGGAGCUUUAAACUUACCCUCUGGAGGUUAAAUGUCCAUAGUGUUCCUUGUUUGAAUAAGGAAUAUUUCUAUGCUAUAUUUUUGUAGAAUGAAUAUUUAUAUUACAUUUUGUGAGAUAUGAUGAAUAAUGGAUGAUUAUCUUUUCUGAACUGGAAAUGAGAUGUAGUAGGUUAGUUUGGUGCAGUUUGGAUAAUUACAUUGUAUUGCUUUACAGGUUUAUCCUAGGCAUGGGUUGUAUGGUGUCAUUCAAAUAUAUUUUCUGUUACAAUGUUUUUUAAAAGUUUACUCCCUCAUUUACUUUCAUAAAUAGUACCUGAUGUGUUUAUUUGAACUUUGGUAUAUAGAUUUUUUCAUGUGAUAAUUUAGGCAUGUUUACAAACUACAGCCAGAAAUCUUGGUGGAUAAACUGAAAUUAUAAGAAAUAUAUAUGUAUAGUACAGUAGUCUGUGUAUUCCGAACAUAUUAAAAAAUGAACAGUUUUUUUUCCAGAAUCUUCAAUUUUCAGAUUUGAUGAAUCUGAAUUUGAAAUAAUAAAUAUGAUAUAACAUUUCCCUUAAUGAAUAUGAUUCAGUUUUUGUUUGUUGUGUGAACAAGUAAGCAUUCCAGAAUAGCACUCUAAUCAUUAAUUACUGUGUGGAAAUUCAUAAUAUAUGUUUUAUCAUGCAAAUUCAUAAUAUAUGUUUUAUCAUGCAUGUAUGACUUGGUUGUCUUUCUCUGUUAUAGCUAUCUGAUAUAUGCUUGUGUAGUAAUAACUGCCUGUACUUUGCAUGACCUCGGAGGAAUAGGUAAAUGAAUAACCUUACUAACAUUUGAUCCAUAUUAAAUCCAUAUUAAGUCUGAAACCUUUUUUAUUAAUAUUGAUAUACUUUUGAUAUUUUAUAGCUUGGCUUACUGUUUGAGAGCAGACCCACAUUUUCCUCUUCAUUUUGAAAGUUCUGACUUGCAUCUGUGUGAAAAGCAUUUGACUUAAGUAUCUGUGCAUAUUUUAAGUGAAUUAUUGAUAUUACAGUUGCAGAACUGUUUGUCUGGAAAAGGAUCCAAUAAUAAGUUCAAGUGAAUGAGACUCCAUAUGUAAAAUCUACUCCAGGCUUCUUUUGCAGGGCUGAAGGUGGUGAUUGUUUCCAUAGUUCCAAGGCCACACAAACAAAUGGUGCAGCAGAACAGUAUAUUGAAAUUCUUCAUAUUCUUUGUUUUCAGAUAAGUCUGCCUAGUGUUCUCCAACUACCCACUACCCACUUGUUGUUGCUAUUGAAAAAAACUGAGGCAGCAGUGAGGCUUUGCACUUGAGGCAUUUUACAGAAAAUGGAAAACAACUUGAGAUUUGGCUGGCAGUGGUAACUGGACAGAAGCUAAAUUUUGUUGAACUUUCUGGCAUUGGCUGUAAGAGCAGUCAAGGCAGUUUCCAUUGACAGAUGAGAACACCAGGGUUGGAGAGGGUUGCAGAUGCAUGGCUUUAGAUACUAUUUACACUGCCAUUUCAUUUCCAGAUAUUAUGUUUGAAGAAUUCUAGAUGGUCAGAGAAUCAAGGCUCUGAAGACUUGAGCAGCAAAUGAGUGGGAUUGCAACCAUUAGGAAAGGUUGAGGACAUGCAGGAGAUAUUGCAAAAGGGAAACUUGAAUCAAAGGCAAGAACAACUUCAAGUAUGACAUUUGUUGGUCAAAUAUGAG